Molecule: ribosomal RNA, 528 nt
Filed under: uncultured bacterium
Lineage: Bacteria
Description: partial 16S ribosomal RNA
Rfam family: Bacterial small subunit ribosomal RNA
Source: RNAcentral
UGGGGAAUUUUGGACAAUGGGCGAAAGCCUGAUCCGGCAAUGCCGCGUGUGUGAAGAAGGCCUUCGGGUUGUAAAGCACUUUUGUCCGGAAAGAAAUCCUUGGCUCUAAUACAGUCGGGGGAUGACGGUACCGGAAGAAUAAGCACCGGCUAACUACGUGCCAGCAGCCGCGGUAAUACGUAGGGUGCAAGCGUUAAUCGGAAUUACUGGGCGUAAAGCGUGCGCAGGCGGUUUGCUAAGACCGAUGUGAAAUCCCCGGGCUCAACCUGGGAACUGCAUUGGUGACUGGCAGGCUAGAGUAUGGCAGAGGGGGGUAGAAUUCCACGUGUAGCAGUGAAAUGCGUAGAGAUGUGGAGGAAUACCGAUGGCGAAGGCAGCCCCCUGGGCCAAUACUGACGCUCAUGCACGAAAGCGUGGGGAGCAAACAGGAUUAGAUACCCCUGGUAGUCCACGCCCUAAACGAUGUCAACUAGUUGUUGGGGGAUUCAUUUCCUUAGUAACGUAGCUAACGCGUGAAGUUGACCGCCU